ACGAGGACGAACGCUGGCGGCGUGCCUAAUACAUGCAAGUCGAGCGGACCAAAGGGAGCUUGCUCCUGGAGGUUAGCGGCGAACGGGUGAGUAACACGUGGGCAACCUGCCUGUAAGACUGGGAUAACAUCGAGAAAUCGGUGCUAAUACCGGAUAAUAAAAAGAACUGCAUGGUUCUUUUUUGAAAGAUGGUUUCGGCUAUCACUUACAGAUGGGCCCGCGGCGCAUUAGCCAGUUGGUGAGGUAACGGCUCACCAAGGCGACGAUGCGUAGCCGACCUGAGAGGGUGAUCGGCCACACUGGGACUGAGACACGGCCCAGACUCCUACGGGAGGCAGCAGUAGGGAAUCUUCCGCAAUGGACGAAAGUCUGACGGAGCAACGCCGCGUGAGUGAUGAAGGUUUUCGGAUCGUAAAACUCUGUUGUUAGGGAAGAACAAGUGCCGUUCGAAAGGGCGGCACCUUGACGGUACCUAACGAGAAAGCCACGGCUAACUACGUG
Molecule: ribosomal RNA, 501 nt
Filed under: uncultured bacterium
Lineage: Bacteria
Description: bacterial SSU rRNA
Rfam family: Bacterial small subunit ribosomal RNA
Source: RNAcentral